AAGGAAUCUUCAUUUUAUUCAAGUUAAUCUUAUAUGAAGCAUCAUGAAAUAGAAUGAAAAUGGUCAAAGCUCAUCUGAUUGCAACAGAAUUCAGGCCAAGAGCCACCAAAGAACUGAUGUCUGCCAAAACCCAUAUGAAGGAUCUUGCAUACAGGUUCACAAGCCUCAUUUGAGCUUUGAGGUGUCAGACUCACCAGCUAACAGUUUGGGCGCAAUCUCUUAGUUUCCAGAGCCAGAAGUUCUCACGUAAGCUACUCCAAGAAUUUCAAUCUUGACCCACAGAAACUGCUGGCAUGAAGUGGCUCAAUCUCAGCUCACUGCAACCUCCACCUCAAGGAUUGAAGCGAUUCUCAUGCCUCAGACUCCCCAGUAGCUGGGGUUACAGGUCAAAAACUACUACCGCAAUGAGUGGGAAGUCAGAUGAUUAAUGUCUGCUGUUUACACAGAAACUUGCAGAGAUUUACAGCAAGAGCAUAAGUAUAUCAAGAUGACAAUAACAACAAUGUUUAACAUCUAGAAGCCACUUCCAACAAAACCAUGUGGAAGGCGGGAGCAAAUUGCAUAGAUGUGGACAAUGAGAUUUGGAGAGUUUACGUAACUUGCUAAAGGUCAUGCACCCGGAAAACUUGACAAAAGGACUGUAUAGUUAAUAACAAUGCUGCCUCAGAAUCAGUUUCCUUCCAUGUUAAUUUAUUAUUUUUCCUUCAUUUUCACACCUAGCAACGGCAGGUGGCGUCCUUGUGGUGGUGCACCUCUCUAACACUUCUUUCAUCUCCACAUUUUUCAUUAACCACAGCAAGGAAUGAUUCUGUGUUUCGUCAUUCAUGUGAUUAAAUUGUAGCCACCUGGAUAACCUAGGAUCUCUCUUCAUCUCAAGAUGCUUAAAAACAAGCAUGACCUGGGACAUGAAAUUCUUUGCAUUGUUAUAGAAAUGACAAUUCUGCUUAAUCAAAAAUACAAUAAAAAUAUUUUUAAAAUUGUCUUGUAUUUCUCCAUGAUUUUUAAAUUUUGACUAGAAAUACUUUAUUGUACAG
Molecule: long non-coding RNA, 1034 nt
Filed under: Homo sapiens (human)
Lineage: Eukaryota; Metazoa; Chordata; Mammalia; Primates; Hominidae
Description: HSALNT0271894
Source: RNAcentral